GACGGAGGGUGCGAGCGUUAUUCGGAAUUAUUGGGCGUAAAGGGUGUGUAGGCGGCCGGUCAAGUCAGAUGUGAAAGCCCAGGGCUUAACCCUGGAAGUGCAUUUGAUACUGUUCGGCUUGAGUUCGGGAGAGGAAAGCGGAAUUCCGGGUGUAGAGGUGAAAUUCGUAGAUAUCCGGAGGAACACCGGUGGCGAAGGCGGCUUUCUGGACCGAAACUGACGCUGAGACACGAAAGCGUGGGGAGCAAACAGG
Molecule: ribosomal RNA, 253 nt
Filed under: uncultured bacterium
Lineage: Bacteria
Description: partial 16S ribosomal RNA
Rfam family: Bacterial small subunit ribosomal RNA
Source: RNAcentral